RNAcentral lists this long non-coding RNA (249 nucleotides) under Nicotiana benthamiana. RNAcentral's name for it is "long non-coding RNA (NBEN_LNC029942)". The record is from RNAcentral. Lineage: Eukaryota; Viridiplantae; Streptophyta; Magnoliopsida; Solanales; Solanaceae.
AUUAUACUUCCAAGAAGUAUUUGGUCUCCAGGGAUGUCCAAUUUCAUGAAUCAGUUUUUCCUUUCAAAAAUGCCUCUCUCUCUGUUCCUUCAUCCAAUCCUAUUUUUCCUUUCAUCCAUUCCGGAGAACAUGAUGAUACUUCUAAUGAUUCUGAUUCUCCUCUUCCUUCAUCUCCUUCUGAUUCUGCUUCACCUGUCAAUCUACCUUCUUCUGCUCCACUCAGUUCUCCUGUCUUGGAUACUACUUCUG